This 240-nucleotide unclassified non-coding RNA is filed under the name soil metagenome. RNAcentral describes it as "partial contains 5.8S ribosomal RNA, internal transcribed spacer 2, and large subunit ribosomal RNA". The record is from RNAcentral.
AACCAUUCUCACCUGCGGCUAGACCUGCGGAAGGAUCAUUACUGAGUAGUUGGGUCUCCAAGGCCCAUACUCCCACCCUUUGUGUACCUUACCAAAUAUUUUAAGUUGCCUUGGUAGGAAUCCUAUCCCCCCUUUCAUUAGGCGGCGUAGGCCUACCAUGGGGACUCUCUUUAAACUCUUAUCAAUUGAGUCGUCUGAGAAAAAAAAUUCAAAUGAAUUAAAACUUUCAACAAUGGAUCU